This 335-nucleotide unclassified non-coding RNA is filed under the name uncultured Chytridiomycota. RNAcentral's name for it is "sequence contains 5.8S rRNA gene, ITS2, 28S rRNA gene". Lineage: Eukaryota; Fungi; Chytridiomycota. The record is from RNAcentral.
AACGCAUAUUGCACUCUAUUCUGUAGAGUAUGCCUGUUUGAGAAUCUAUAGUAUUUCUUUUAGAAUUUUUUUUUUGAAAAUUCUAAAGAUAUGAGGUGUUUCUCUUUUUUGAAAAAGAGUACCUUUAAAUAGAUUAACUGUAAUUUAAGUGAAUGUUUGACGUCUCUUAAACAACAGAACAGUAUUUGAAUGGUUAUUUUGACCUCAAUACCUAAUAUGUUUGUCUAGAGAAAUAGUUUAUUUAAAUUAUGGUUCCAAAUUUUAUAAAGAAAAAGAUUUAAUCUUUUUUUUUGAACCUUGGUCUCAAAUCAGGUAGGAGGACCCGCUGAACUUAA